CAGUAGCCACGGUAAUACAGAGGGUGCGAGCGUUAAUCGGAUUUACUGGGCGUAAAGCGUGCGUAGGCGGCUUCUUAAGUCGGAUGUGAAAUCCCUGAGCUUAACUUAGGAAUUGCAUUCGAUACUGGGAAGCUAGAGUAUGGGAGAGGAUGGUAGAAUUCCAGGUGUAGCGGUGAAAUGCGUAGAGAUCUGGGGGAAUACCGAUGGCGAAGGCAGCCAUCUGGCCUAAUACUGACGCUGAGGUACGAAAGCAUGGGGAGCAAACAGGAUUAGAUACCCCUGUAGUCCCUGUCUCUUAUAC
This 301-nucleotide ribosomal RNA is filed under the name uncultured bacterium. Its description in RNAcentral is "partial 16S ribosomal RNA". It matches the Rfam family "Bacterial small subunit ribosomal RNA", at positions 509 to 807 of the family's 1533-position model. The record is from RNAcentral.